RNAcentral lists this ribosomal RNA (651 nucleotides) under Triticum aestivum (bread wheat). Its description in RNAcentral is "partial small subunit ribosomal RNA". The record is from RNAcentral. Lineage: Eukaryota; Viridiplantae; Streptophyta; Magnoliopsida; Poales; Poaceae.
AUGAUUCCAGGACCUGGAAUCAUACCAGCCGAUGGCCUACAAAGUCUGUCGCACAACGUUGUAACUUCUUACCCCAUUUCUAAAUUUGUACUAGUCCUCUAUACCGAUUGGUCGGUGCUGCCGGCUGGCGUCAAGUUCGAUCCCACGGAUCAGGAGCUGAUCGAGCACCUUGAGGCCAAAGUGAGUGCUGACGGCGCGAGAUCUCACCCUCUCAUUCAUUUGUUCAUACCAACCAUCGACAGCGAGCACGGCAUAUGCUACACCCAUCCGGAGAAACUUCCAGGUAUCACACUGAGUGGCCUAAGCAAGCAUUUCUUCCAACGCAAUUCCAGGGCAUCCAAAACGGGCACGUGGACGCGUAGCAAGAUACAGUCGGAGUGCGGCAUGCACGCGAUGUGGCACAAGACCAGCAAUACCUUGCUGGUGAUGUUCAAUGGCCGGCAGACGGGCAACAAAAAGGUUCUGGUGCUGCACACCAACAAGAACUUCGAUCAUUCCCGCAAAAAAAACUUCGACCCGCAGAGGACCAACUGGGUGAUGCACCAGUACCACCUCGGGGACCUGGAGCAAGAGAAGGAGUGGGAGCUAGUCCUCUGCAAGAUUUUUUACUACACGAACACUAGGGCCAGGACUAAAAAGAUUAUAAGUUAG